ACGCUCGACACCUACGGGGGCAGCAGUUGGGAAUAUUGGACAAUGGAGGAAACUCUGAUCCAGUGACGCCGCGUGAAGGAAGAGGGUCUUCGGAUUGUAAACUUAUUUUGUCAGGGAAGAAAAAAUGACUGUACCUGAAGAAAAAGCACCGGCUAACUACGUGCCCGCAGCCGCGGUAAGUCUGAGCGGGCGUGGCAAGGC
This 201-nucleotide ribosomal RNA is filed under the name uncultured bacterium. Its description in RNAcentral is "partial 16S ribosomal RNA". It matches the Rfam family "Bacterial small subunit ribosomal RNA", at positions 328 to 538 of the family's 1533-position model. The record is from RNAcentral.